RNAcentral lists this ribosomal RNA (1344 nucleotides) under Kallichroma asperum. RNAcentral's name for it is "partial large subunit ribosomal RNA". It matches the Rfam family "Eukaryotic large subunit ribosomal RNA", at positions 90 to 1439 of the family's 3401-position model. The record is from RNAcentral. Lineage: Eukaryota; Fungi; Ascomycota; Sordariomycetes; Hypocreales; Bionectriaceae.
CGAGUGAAGCGGCAGCAGCUCACAUUUGAAAUCUGGCCCCCCCGCCCCGGGGGGGCCCGAGUUGUAACCUGCAGAGGAUGCUUCAGGCGAGGUGCCCUCCGAGUCCCCUGGAAUGGGGCGCCGUAGAGGGUGAGAGCCCCGUACGGUUGGCGGCCGAGCCUCUGUGAAGCUCCUUCGACGAGUCGAGUAGUUUGGGAAUGCGCUCUAAAUGGGAGGUAUACGCCUUCUAAAGCUAAAUACCGGCCAGAGACCGAUAGCGCACAAGUAGAGUGAUCGAAAGAUGAAAAGCACUUUGGAAAGAGGGUUAAACAGUACGUGAAAUUGUUGAAAGGGAAGCGCUUGUGACCAGACUUGGGCCCCGGCUGAUCAUCCACCGCCCCCCCCGGCGGUGGUGCACUCAGCCUGGCCCAGGCCAGCAUCGGCCCGGCGCCCGGGGGAGAAAGGCUUCUGGGAACGUGGCUCCCCUACGGGGGAGUGUUACAGCCCGCUGCGCAAUGCCCCGGGCCGGGCUGAGGUAGGCGCGUCCGCGAGGAUGCUGGCGUAAUGGUCACCAGCGACCCGUCUUGAAACACGGACCAAGGAGUCGUCUUCGUAUGCGAGUGUUCGGGCGUCAAACCCCCUACGCGGAAUGAAAGUGAACGCAGGAGGGAGCCCCGCAGGGGGCGCACCUCCGACCGAUCCUGAUGUCCUCGGAUGGAUUUGAGUAGGAGCAUACGGGGCCGGACCCGAAAGAAGGUGAACUAUGCCUGUAUAGGGUGAAGCCAGAGGAAACUCUGGUGGAGGCUCGCAGCGGUUCUGACGUGCAAAUCGAUCGUCAAAUAUGGGCAUGGGGGCGAAAGACUAAUCGAACCUUCUAGUAGCUGGUUUCCGCCGAAGUUUCCCUCAGGAUAGCAGUGCUGAGCUCAGUUUUAUGAGGUAAAGCGAAUGAUUAGGGACCCGGGGGCGCUCUACAGCCUUCAUCCAUUCUCAAACUUUAAAUAUGUAAGAAGCCCUUGUUGCUUAGCUGAACGUGGGCAUUCGAAUGUAUCAGCACUAGUGGGCCAUUUUUGGUAAGCAGAACUGGCGAUGCGGGAUGAACCGAACGCGAGGUUAAGGUGCCGGAGUGGACGCUCAUCAGAACCACAAAAGGUGUUAGUACUCUUGACAGCAGGACGGUGACCAUGGAAGUCGGGAUCCGCCAAGGACUGUGUAACAACUCACCUGCCGAAUGUACUAGCCCUGAAAAUGGAUGGCGCUCAAGCGUCCCACCCAUACCUCGCCCUCAGGGCAGGAGCCAGGCCCUGAGGAGUAGGCGGACGUAGGGGUCGUGACGAAGCCUCAGGGCGGAGCCCAGUCAACGACUCC